CUCUCCUACUGUUUAUUACUUGAAACUUGAAAGACACGUUUAAAAAAAGGGGAAAAUGAAAGGGGUUUGUAAAUUUGGAUCUAAACCUUAGUCCCCCUUUCUAUUAUUCUCUCUUAGUCCUACAGUCUCUCCCACUCCUCCUCGCUGCGACUUCGUCUUCAAGGUCUCAGUUCUCAAAUCGUAGCACUCUUUUCUAUCAAGCCAUGGCUCUGGAAUAAGAGUUGUGCUCUGGGAUCUUAGAGAUACAUUCCUGUUUCAUUUAUAUCGCGGCAAUGUUGAAAGCACUCGUUUGGAGAAUUUUCUUCCCGAUUUUGACACAAUUAUGACAACACUACCUUAAGGGAUUCGACCUCAAGAUUGCCUCAUAUGUUAGAUGUUCUUAAGCGAAGCACCUCAAUUCGCUGGAACAAGAAACAACAAAGUAGUUUUAAAUCGAUGAAGAAGAAAAUUCAAGGAGCAACAAAUGAAAUAAAAAAUGUUGCAAGUUUAUUGGGAUAUGAAGGGCUUGAAGUUGUUAAUCCAAAGGAACUUGAUAAUCUUCUAAAGGAAGAGUUUGAGGUUUAAUGAGGUCUGCAAUUGGCUUACAACAAGGUUGGGGCUCGAGGGAUAAUGCUAAAUAUAGCCAAGAUUAAGCAAUAAUAGUGAAAAGAGAGAAGACUGCAGACGUUACAAGUAGGUAGUAAACAAAAAGGAUUGUUAGGGUAUAUGGUAUACUUGGAUCUAGAGAUGUUUCACUACCUGGGUCUACCCUCUUAGAAAUAAGAGAUCAAUAGAGUUUCUUGGAAUUAAAGUUGCAAUUUUAGACUGGAUUAGCUUUUAUGUAGUACAACAUCAAUAUCAAUGUCCAUCGUCUUAGGUACUUCUUUUAUUUGUUUACUAUUGUACAUUGGGUUGAAUACUGGUGGUAUACAUUUCGGCUAAAUGUUAAGUGUAUUUUGAUUGAUGGGUCAAUUUUUGUAGUGAAUAUUCAACAUUUAUUUUAAUUUUAAUGUUAUAUUUUUUAGUUGUAUUUAAA
Molecule: long non-coding RNA, 1015 nt
Organism: Gossypium arboreum
Lineage: Eukaryota; Viridiplantae; Streptophyta; Magnoliopsida; Malvales; Malvaceae
Exons: 6
Source: RefSeq, a predicted model, not a curated record